UUUCGUCUUGCUGGCUGCUUCCGCCCAUUCUUAGCGCCGCGCCCCGCCGCGCCGCGCGGCGCGCAAUGGGGAGCCAGUGGGCAAGCCGACGACAUACUUCUUCCCGUUAGGGUUUUCGCUGCGCUGCGUCAUACGCCGCGGCUUUGCGAGGUGUCAUGAACAGAUCGUGCUUGAUGGAUUGAUGGUAGUAGUGAAGCCGACUGAAAGCAGCUUCACCGUGCGAUGCAGACAUUGAGCAUCACGACAAUUUUUCUUUCUCAAGGAUUAAGAUAACUUCUGUCCACAAAGCAGCAGUCACAUGGACCUCUGCUCCAUUACUGUGAGAACAUUGCAGGCAACAGGUUUACCAGCACCACAUCAGAUCCUCUUGAAAAUGAAGCACAAGAGCCGAUUCUUGCAUUGAUUAUUUGAUUCACUGACGAUCGCUUUACCUGACGCGGAAAGGGACUCAAACCAUUGGAAGAUGUGGCACUUCCAAUCUCACCGGGUUACUGGGGAACAUGUUGCCCUCUAAAUGUGCCACAGAUGGACGGACCGGGAUCACUGACGCAUGAACAUGACGCAGCGGUCUAUUUCUUUGCAGAAUGCAGGGUCCUUGCUCCGAAAGCGACGGACAUGUACUCUUUGGACAUCCCAACGGCUGCAAAACCUUGUGCACUCAUCAGGUGACACCUGCAUCUGCCGGUGUAGUUGCAGUACCACAGCAAUAAUUCAGUGUACAUCAUAUAUAGAUGGGGGCAUCUUUGGAAUCUGAAAGUAGCCAGAAGGAUCCAGCAGCAGUGUUAAUUAAGAUACAUAAUUGACCAGUCUGUCCUUGCAUCGAUCAAUAACUGACGGAUUCUUGUGCCUUCAAUUGCUUGUUUCUUCAGAGUUUAGAAAUAAGACUGGAGCUGCUGCCGGUUGCUUUCCUGAGGAUGGACCAAAUUAAGUGUCUGGAUCUCACUGUUGAGCACUAAAAUGCCUAGUCAGGGCGCAGUAUUUGGUGGAUGAAGAAAGCCAGUUAUCGCGUGAUGCUGCUUUAAUCUCUACUUCCAGUUAUUAGGGAGCUUCACAGUUAAGCAGGGUUAAAGGAUAAUUCGUCCUUCAGAUGAUGUGGUGGCAUUGCAAGGUUUACCAGGUUGAUUUUAUGGUCAUGUGCACUGCUGAGAUAUUUUGAUCAGGUAAAGCAUGAAAGGAACACUAGUGGCAGAUCUUGUAACUGUUACGUCUCAUCCUUUCUUAGGAUCUGUUGACGUCGCUGCUGCUGCCAAAUUCUUCUUUGGCUUUUCACCUGUCUCAUAUUCUGUUCAUCUUAAUUUACAGAGAGAUAACUACUGCUUAUACCACUUAUAGUUAUUAAUUUGGACAGCGUUGUCAGAGCUAUUUUCAA
This is a long non-coding RNA of Sorghum bicolor (sorghum), 1369 nucleotides long. RefSeq lists it as uncharacterized. Lineage: Eukaryota; Viridiplantae; Streptophyta; Magnoliopsida; Poales; Poaceae. The record is from RefSeq and is a predicted model, not a curated record. The transcript has 4 exons.